AAUAAGGAUGACACCGCCGCCCAGCCAAAUAAAUACCCGGAAGAUUGGUUUUAUUCAGUGUCACGCUAGAGGGAAGAAGCGUUUGGUUUAUAGUGUAACGUGUAAUGCUGGAGCUAGAGUUAACCCGGAGAGUUUUUUUUUUUUUAAAUAAAUGUUUUUUGUUGUUAAAAGGCGAGUGGAGUCGAGACCGUGGUUAGUAACGUAGGGCGGUGUGUUCGGAGAGGUGGGUUGAAGAUGGAUCUCUUCAAGUGGUGUGAAGUCUGGGGCUGCAAGGAGGGGGUUCUGCUGUCCUGUGCUGCGAUUGAUUUAAGAAGCAUGAUGUCUCUUCAGUGAGGCUGCACUGGCUGAACUCUCCCUGCUUUGUUAGUUGCACUUUGAGGCUCUGAUUUUUAUUUAACAAGUAGAAUUGUUCAACUUUUGCUAAUUUUAGUUUACUGUAAGCCAGUGUGUGUGAAACUCUGCUAUCUUUACAUUAAGCAAUAGCUCAACUGUUUGCAGUAAAUGUCUGGUAUUAACUGAAGCUUUUUGUAUUCCAUUUGUUUAAUAAAAUAAAGGUCUUUCCAGA
Long non-coding RNA from Acipenser ruthenus (sterlet), 565 nucleotides. RefSeq lists it as uncharacterized. The record is from RefSeq and is a predicted model, not a curated record. NCBI's taxonomy places the organism in Eukaryota, Metazoa, Chordata, Actinopteri, Acipenseriformes, Acipenseridae. The transcript has 2 exons.